CAUACAUUCACACACAUAUAUAUGUACAUAUAAAUAUAAAAAGGAUUAAUAAAUGCAGGCAUAUAUCUAGAAAGCUCUCAGUAUUAAGCGAACUUGGUUAACUGCAUCAAACAAUCAGAUAUCAAUAAAUUCAAAUAGAAUUAACAUCCA
Long non-coding RNA from Octopus sinensis (East Asian common octopus), 150 nucleotides. RefSeq lists it as uncharacterized. The record is from RefSeq and is a predicted model, not a curated record. The transcript has 3 exons. Lineage: Eukaryota; Metazoa; Mollusca; Cephalopoda; Octopoda; Octopodidae.